AGUCUAUUGUGUGGACUUUUCCGAAACAAAUCUCUAAACCUUUCCCAUGCUUCAUAUAAUGACUCACCAUCCAAUUAACUAAAAUAAGCAAUAUCCAUUCUAAAUUU
Coffea eugenioides is the source of this 107-nucleotide small nucleolar RNA. Lineage: Eukaryota; Viridiplantae; Streptophyta; Magnoliopsida; Gentianales; Rubiaceae. The record is from RefSeq and is a predicted model, not a curated record.